This 459-nucleotide ribosomal RNA is filed under the name uncultured bacterium. RNAcentral describes it as "partial 16S ribosomal RNA". It matches the Rfam family "Bacterial small subunit ribosomal RNA", at positions 338 to 795 of the family's 1533-position model. The record is from RNAcentral.
CCUACGGGUGGCAGCAGUGGGGAAUAUUGGGCAAUGGGCGCAAGCCUGACCCAGCAACGCCGCGUGAAGGAAGAAUGCUUUCGGGUUGUAAACUUCUUUUUUCAGGGAGCAAUUGUCGCUACUGUUUACUUUAUCGAGAGUACCUGAUGAAAAAGCAUCGGCUAACUCCGUGCCAGCAGCCGCGGUAAUACGGAGGAUGCGAGCGUUAUCCGGAUUUAUUGGGUUUAAAGGGUGCGUAGGCGGAAUGCCAAGUCAGCGGUAAAAUGGCGGGGCUCAACCUAGCACCGCAGUUGAAACUGGCGUUCUUGAGUAGGAGAGAAGUAUGCGGAAUGCGUGGUGUAGCGGUGAAAUGCAUAGAUAUCACGAAGAACUCCGAUUGCGAAGGCAGCAUGCCGGCGCCCAACUGACGCUGAAGCACGAAAGCGUGGGUAUCGAACAGGAUUAGAUACCCGGGUAGUC